This 377-nucleotide long non-coding RNA is filed under the name Phoenix dactylifera (date palm). Its description in RNAcentral is "long non-coding RNA (PDAC_LNC017464)". Lineage: Eukaryota; Viridiplantae; Streptophyta; Magnoliopsida; Arecales; Arecaceae. The record is from RNAcentral.
CCGAGUCGACUCCAAGAGAAUCCGAGUCGACUCGAGGGAGUAAACCUGAAAGAAAGAUCUCUGGAAUCCUGAGAAUGAGUCGUCUCCAGAGGGCCGAGUCAUCUCCGAAUACUGGUGAGUCGACUCCAAGUUUGGCCGAGUCGACUCCAGAACGGGACAGCACUUUUAUUCAAAUCCUGAACAGUGGGCGAGUCGUCUCCAGCAAAGCAUGAGUCGACUCCAGCAACAGCCGAGGCGACUCCAGAUCGAGCAAGUCGACUCUGAUCCCAACGGACACAUUGUCAGGAGUUGCAGAUUGUGCAGAACGGCUCUAAAGUUGUGUCUAAUGGCUAGUUUUCAAAGGGGAUUGCUUAAAUAGCCAGAGUGAACAGUAAUAG